GUCCUUAAAGCUGCCACAAAUCUCACAGCAGAGGCAGAACGUCUCUCACAGUCAAUUUUAUAGAUCACUGUGGGAGAACGGAAUAUAGUAAGGAAAGGCCCGAGAAACAAAUAAUUAGUUUUCACUGUGACUGCCUGUGGAGGAUGGCCUGUGUGCCAGGCAGCCAGUGCUUGAGAAUUCAUCACUGGAGGGAGUGUACGUGCAGAACAUCAGUUCAGUGGGAUGCUGGCUCCUCUCGACCAAUAGGAAUUGGUCCAUGGACCAGAACGUUGAUCUUUGCCUUCUCUGAUGCAAAAUAUGACGUUGCAAAGACGGAGCCAGUGGAGUCACAUGCUCACGCUGAGAGAGGAGCUGCCAGUGAGCUUUCAGUGUUUUCCCAGGCUGACCGGUCAUCCCAGGCAACAUCCCUUGGCAUGUGAAUGUGUACAGUGGGUGUGAGAUUGUGUUCCAAUCCCAGCAGGUCUGCUUAUGAAUAAACACAGAUAUAUAGCUUAUUAUGUAUGCAUGUAUAUCUGUAAGCCUGGCCAUCUGGUUCUAAGCAAGGACAAGUGUUCCCAAGGAUGAGUGGGUGUAUAUAAAAAUAAAACGGACAGUAAAAAAGAAAAAAAAAACAGAAAAAAGAAAAAACAACAGAUUUCUCUAGCCCAAGCUCAACUUUUUCCAAGCUGAGGGAAGAUGCUGUGAAGUCCUGUAAAAACACAAAGCAAGAUCAGAGGUCACAUGAUGAGAUGCCAGUUCUCUUUUAACUCCAAUGAAGAGGAAAAGAAGGCUUAUAGGGACAUCACUAGGAGGCCCUGGGCUGCGUGCUGCCAUACACGUCCACCAAAAUAACAUAUCUGAAAGCAUGAUGAGACUCAGAGGAAGCAGGCAUGAAAACAGGAGAAUGACUCCAAAAACUUCAAAUGUGCAGAUGACACCAUACUGUAUUGGACAAUGAGGACCGUGGAGAAAAGGAUGUGUGCCUGGCGAAUGCAAGCUAUACAGAAUGGGCCAGGACAUAGGAACACUCACCAGGUUGAAGACAGACUACAGAGGUUUAUUCAGUUCAGCAAAAAGGGAUGCAAGUAUGAGCGGAUGCUUCAAAAUUGUACAAGAAUAAAAUAUACAGAGAAAGCAAGGUAUCUUACACAGUUUGAGAGCUAUUCAAAACUCCUGCUCCCUCCCCUGAUUGGCAGAAAGAGGAGCCGGUCUGGAUUUGCAGCCUGAUUGGCUGAGAGCGCUGCUGACGUUGCCAUCUCCAGGCGGGGAUUCCCUUUCACAGGGAAAUGACAGCCAAGGAUUUUCCAGCCAAGGAACCAAUAAGCUUGGGGACAUCCCCCUGGAAGGAGACAUCACUUGUAAAGACAAUGGCAAGGAAAUGAUAAUGAAAUAUAAUCCUUCCUCUCCUUCAAAAAACAACUGAAAACUCAUUUUUGCUCAUUAGCAUAUGGAGAGGAGGGGGAUUAGGAAAUGAGCGAUCACUACAGGACCUUUGGUUGAGAACUAUUGUUGUGUUCGAGCCUGUUAGUCGAUGUUGGCCCAACAGUCAUCACUGGCCACACAGUCAACCCAUAUGACUUUGUGAACUUUGGUUGGCUCCUGUAAAUCCAUGUGGAUGUUUUAUGUCAUUUAUAAUUUUGUUUAAUUACGUUUUAUUUAAUUUAUUGAUGUUAGGUUCUAAUUUUACGUUUACAUGUGGGAUUAUUCUGGAUUAUUUUGUUGGCAUAUGUUUGUUUUUUAGUGGCAUUGUUUGCCUUUUUGUAUGUUGGAAUCUACCCUGAGUCUCCCUGGGGAGAUAGGGUGGAAUACAAAUAAAGUUUGUUUGUUUAUCUAUAUAUAUAUAAAAGGAUAAAGUUGUUUGCACAGUGACUAUAACAACAAAUUUAAACGUCCCAGAAAUAUGAAACUUGGCAACUCAACGCAAAAGCCUUGCCUCCUGAUUAUAACAACACAACCACACCACAAAACCACAAUCCGGACCCACAAAACUCACAACAACGCAUCAUGACUAUAACAACACAACUAAACACCCCAGAAAUACGAAACUUAACAACACAAUGCAAAAGUCUUGCCUCCCGGCUGUAACAACACAACCACACCACAAAACCACAAUCCGGACCCACAAAACUCAACGCAUCAUGACUAUAACAACACAACUAAACGCCCUAGAAAUACAAAACUUGGCACACAACUAAACACCCCAGAAAUACAAAACUUGACAACACAAUGCAAAAGCCUUACCUCCCGGUUGUAACAACACAAUCACACCACAAAACCACAAUCCGGACCCACAAAACUUACAACAACGCAUUGUGAUUUUAACAACACAACUAAACGCCCCAGAAAUACGAAACUUGGUAACACAACGCAAAAGCCUUCCCUCUCGGUUGUAACAACACAACCACACCACAAAAGGAGGGAGGGAAGGGAAGCGAAGGAAUGCCAAGGACAAGAGCCCUCCCUCUCUGCCUGGAAGGCCAAGAGCAAAAGGGAGAGAAAGACCAUUGAUCCAGUUAUAUUUACCCUCCUUUCUGACCAGUGUGUUCUUAUCAGCGAGCUCAGGAUGAGAGCAGAGAAAGGGAACAGCAUAGGACUAAAGGAAACAAGGAGAGCACUC
Anolis carolinensis (green anole) is the source of this 2596-nucleotide long non-coding RNA. RefSeq lists it as uncharacterized. The record is from RefSeq and is a predicted model, not a curated record. The transcript has 5 exons. NCBI's taxonomy places the organism in Eukaryota, Metazoa, Chordata, Lepidosauria, Squamata, Anolidae.